Molecule: transfer RNA, 72 nt
Filed under: Ictidomys tridecemlineatus (thirteen-lined ground squirrel)
Lineage: Eukaryota; Metazoa; Chordata; Mammalia; Rodentia; Sciuridae
Description: Spermophilus tridecemlineatus (thirteen-lined ground squirrel) tRNA
Rfam family: tRNA
About the family: Transfer RNA (tRNA) molecules are approximately 80 nucleotides in length.
Source: Rfam by way of RNAcentral
GGGGAUGUGGCUCAGUGGUAGAACAUUUGCUUAGCAUUUCUGGGGCCCUGGGUUCAAGCCCCAGCACCACCA